AGACAGUGCGAGGCUGCGCAUGCGCUUGCUGGGGGCGAUGCGCAGUGUCGUGGGCUGCGAGAUGGCCUUCGUGUUGCGCAUGCGCAGGGCGGGGCCUCGCGGAGCGCGGGAAACAAGCAGAGCGCGCGCAGAUUUUUCAAGGGGAAGAUAAAAUGACUAAGAGGAAGAAGCUGGGGACCUCAGGAGAAGGAAUCUGUCCUUCAAAACCCCUAAAGAAUCCAAGGCUAGAAGACUCUGAUGGGGACCUCCAGAGUUCCACAUUGGGCUGUUUGCAUCACCCUGAGGUGCUGGAGGGCAAGCUGGGACCUGUUCCUUCUACACAGCAGCACGGGGAGGAACCAGGAAAGGUGGUCUCCAGCUCUCCUAACGAGGAAACAGGAGCUCCCUGCAGGCUCCUCCAUCAACCAGAAAAGAAGCCAGCUCCCCUUCCUCCUUCUCAGAACUCAGUUGGCAGGUUUGUUCCCCAGUUUGCAAAAUCCAGGAAGACAGUGCCAAGAACAGGAGGAAUGAAGGAUGAGGACCUCGGGAGUGGGCCCUUUAGUGCGGAAACACUCCCAGAGUCCAGCGCCCAGGAGUCAGGAUACCAGCUCCUAGCCGAGACUCUGGGGCUCCCCUUCCAGGAGGCCACAGAGCCAGGGGACCCAAUGCAGGCAGACGGUGCCCAUCCUAAGCAGAGCAGCCAGAGCCCUGUGAAAGCUGUGUCCAGCAGUGGGGAUUCUCAGCCUGAGGACCCUCCAGGCAGGGGGACGGGGUGGUCUGCCUCACAGAGGGCCAGCCAGGACCACCUGUCAGAACAAGGGACCGACAAUAGCAGGCCUGAGACAGAGAGGGCUCCAGGUGAUCCUGGCCAAAUGGAACACCUGCCAAGCAGUGAUUCUGAAGGGAAGGAGCCAGACAGAGGAGCCCCCCAGGAGGGAGGAGCCCAAAGGACAGCAGGGGCUGGCCUUCCUGGAGGGCCCCAGGAGGAGGGAGGCGAUAUCCCCUGUGCCCCACCAUCAAUUCCUACCUCGGGCCCUGCUUUGGGACUGGGCCCUGCCUCUUGGUGUCUGGAACCCGGGUCUGUGGCCCAGGGCUCCCCCGACUCCCAGCAGACCCCCAGCAGGGUGGGCAGGGAAAGGGAAGGGACUCAUAGCAGCCUGGAAUGUUCCUCCCUCAGUAUGGGUGUCAUCACAGACCUGAGCACAGACCCCACUGAGCUGGAAGAGAAGGCUCUGGAGGUGGCUGGGCCUGACAGGCAGGUUAGCGCCAUGUCACCUGCCUCUCCCGAGAGGAAGGCUGAUGAUGGAGGCCACGGGAGAGUCCUGCCAGGCUGCACCCCACUCACUGGGGAAACCACAGGAGGGAGAGGGGAGGCAGGGCAGGACGACAACCCCCCCGAUGACAUCCCAGUGGGCCCUGCAGCCUCCCUGGCUCUGGCACCUGGGAGCGGACAGCCCAUGAUGGGGGCUGGAGAUUCCAGCCAUCCAGCCCUGGACACAGGUCCAUGUGUCAGUCAGAAGCAGGAGCCAGGCCCUGCCCAAGAGGCAGCCGAGACAGGCAGCCAGAACCUUGAACAAGACCUCGAGGGGCUCGGUCUGUCCCCAGAAGCCUCUGUUCUGCUGGAACACAAAGAAGCAACGGACGGCCCUCUUCAGGAGCCUGGGACCCAGCCGGGUGAUCCAGACACCACCUUGGACCCAGCAGGGCAGCGAGACCACCUGCCUCAUUCUGCAGACCAGGCCACCUGGGCAGACUCUUCAGCCCUGGAACUUGACUUCCUGCCAGACAGCCAGUUACAGGAUGCCCUGGAUGCCUCUGACUUCGAAGCCCCACCUGAGCAGCUCUUUCCUUCGGGGAGCAAGCCAGGCCCUUGCUGGCCUGGCCCCAGCCCACAUGCCAGUGAAGACCCUGUUGCAGUGGCCAGGGCCCAGCCGAGGACCUUUGUGGGGAUCCAGGCCUGUGAGGCCCCCAGGAUGGAGGAUGCCACCAACAUCGUGCGUGGCCUCAUCGUUGAGCUCUCCAACCUGAACCGGCUGAUCAUGGGCACCCACCGGGACCUGGAAGCCUUCAAGCGCCUCAACUACUGGAAGACAAAGCCAGGAGGCAAAGCCCCCUGCCUUACCCUUCAAAGGGGCCAGGGGAUGUCCCUCGAGGGGACCAACCCUGGAGGGAGUUGUCGGCGGCUUUGAGGUCUGUUUCCUCUGCCACCGGCCCCCAUGCCUGUGGGCCCCCAUGGGCAACCUGGUACUUUUGAUCUCCUCCAAGAUGCUCCCGGGGGUCCUAAUGGACCCCACAAACCCCCUUCAGUUGCCCGGAAGUUGGUCUCUAAUGGACAACACAAAAGAGACCCCGAGGACUGGCCAGGGUCAAGGUCAGCAGCCCCCUUGGCUUCAGGCGGGACUGAACUCUAGGAAGCCCGCCCCGGCCGCCUCCAAGCAGGGCCCAUCCUGUUUGGAUUUGCAAAUGUUAGGCUCCCGAGUCAAGGUUAUGGAAGGUUCAGAAUUUGUUUCUUUCCUGGAGAAAAGAGCUCCCUUUGUUUUCCUUCUCACGAUUUCCAUUUUAUUUCUUCUGGGAAGACCCAUAAUAAAUGGUUCCGUAAUGAGGC
This is an RNA transcript of Callithrix jacchus (white-tufted-ear marmoset), 2584 nucleotides long. It is a transcript of the gene named break repair meiotic recombinase recruitment factor 1, with no coding region annotated. Lineage: Eukaryota; Metazoa; Chordata; Mammalia; Primates; Cebidae. The record is from RefSeq and is a predicted model, not a curated record.